RNAcentral lists this ribosomal RNA (465 nucleotides) under Vreelandella stevensii. RNAcentral describes it as "partial 16S ribosomal RNA". It matches the Rfam family "Bacterial small subunit ribosomal RNA", at positions 338 to 795 of the family's 1533-position model. Lineage: Bacteria; Pseudomonadati; Pseudomonadota; Gammaproteobacteria; Oceanospirillales; Halomonadaceae. The record is from RNAcentral.
CCUACGGGGGGCAGCAGUGGGGAAUAUUGGACAAUGGGGGGAACCCUGAUCCAGCCAUGCCGCGUGUGUGAAGAAGGCCCUCGGUUUGUAAAGCACUUUCAGUGAGGAAGAACGCCUGGUGGUUAAUACCCAUCAGGAAAGACAUCACUCACAGAAGAAGCACCGGCUAACUCCGUGCCAGCAGCCGCGGUAAUACGGAGGGUGCGAGCGUUAAUCGGAAUGACUGGGCGUAAAGCGCGCGUAGGUGGCUUGAUAAGCCGGUUGUGAAAGCCCCGGGCUCAACCUGGGAACGGCAUCCGGAACUGUCAAGCUAGAGUGCAGGAGAGGAAGGUAGAAUUCCCGGUGUAGCGGUGAAAUGCGUAGAGAUCGGGAGGAAUACCAGUGGCGAAGGCGGCCUUCUGGACUGACACUGACACUGAGGUGCGAAAGCGUGGGUAGCAAACAGGAUUAGAUACCCGGGUAGUC